GCAGUGGCUCAUUCACCGACUUAUGUCAGCCCCUUCGGGACGUGCUACAUAAAAUUCGAAUGACGCACAACAAGGUGCCUGCCGUCCAACUUCUGAUAUCAGCGUAGCUAUAUCAACCAUCGGGCGAAACGUCGAGUUAGGCACCGCCUUAUUCCAUAACAAAGCCGGGUAAUUCCCGGCUUUGUUGU
Molecule: non-coding RNA, 188 nt
Filed under: Escherichia coli
Lineage: Bacteria; Pseudomonadati; Pseudomonadota; Gammaproteobacteria; Enterobacterales; Enterobacteriaceae
Also listed under: 4 other names
Description: GlmZ RNA activator of glmS mRNA
Rfam family: Glm Y RNA activator of glmS mRNA (bases 3-150)
About the family: This family consists of a number of bacterial RNA genes of around 167 bases in length. The function of this RNA is unknown.
Source: RNAcentral